RNAcentral lists this ribosomal RNA (465 nucleotides) under Vreelandella stevensii. RNAcentral's name for it is "partial 16S ribosomal RNA". It matches the Rfam family "Bacterial small subunit ribosomal RNA", at positions 338 to 795 of the family's 1533-position model. The record is from RNAcentral. Lineage: Bacteria; Pseudomonadati; Pseudomonadota; Gammaproteobacteria; Oceanospirillales; Halomonadaceae.
CCUACGGGGGGCAGCAGUGGGGAAUAUUGGACAAUGGGGGCAACCCUGAUCCAGCCAUGCCGCGUGUGUGAAGAAGGCCCUCGGGUUGUAAAGCACUUUCAGUGAGGAAGAACGCCUGGUGGUUAAUACCCAUCAGGAAAGACAUCACUCACAGAAGAAGCACCGGCUAACUCCGUGCCAGCAGCCGCGGUAAUACGGAGGGUGCGAGCGUUAAUCGGAAUUACUGGGCGUAAAGCGCGCGUAGGUGGCUUGAUAAGCCGGUUGUGAAAGCCCCGGGCUCAACCUGGGAACGGCAUCCGGAACUGUCAAGCUAGAGUGCAGGAGAGGAAGGUAGAAUUCCCGGUGUAGCGGUGAAAUGCGUAGAGAUCGGGAGGAAUACCAGUGGCGAAGGCGGCCUUCUGGACUGACACUGACACUGAGGUGCGAAAUCGUGGGUAGCAAACAGGAUUAGAUACCCCAGUAGUC